RNAcentral lists this small RNA (3843 nucleotides) under Rattus norvegicus (Norway rat). Its description in RNAcentral is "uncharacterized LOC102552141". Lineage: Eukaryota; Metazoa; Chordata; Mammalia; Rodentia; Muridae. The record is from RNAcentral.
CUUCUCCCUCUUAUCCACUCAGCAGUCCCUGCUGUCUCUCCUGGAGGAUGGAAGAUGCAGGUGACCUGCCCUGAGCUUCCCUCAUGAGUGAACAAACGCCAGCUCCGAGAGGUGGAUUCACAUGUCCAAGGUCACACAGCAAGAACGCAAUCAUGGUGCUCUUGGAAAUGCCCCCCUCCCCGUGGUUGUGUGCACGACUGACCCUGCACCUCUGGCCACUGUGAGGCCUCAAAAAUAUUGACUUUUCAAAAUGCCAAGCCAAAUCCAAGGUUGAAAGCCACAUCAGCCCAACCGCCUGGUAUGAUCUCCGAGCCGCCCCCUCGCCUCUGUCCUGAGUAAAUAUUUGCUCUCCAGACACCAGACUUGCCAAAGUAAGUUUAUCUUGAAGGCCCCUGUGACAGACAGUGUGCAGGCUACCAGCUCCUCUUCCUCCUCCUCAUUCCAAGCCCCCCGCAGUCCCGGCAUCUCCUGGUUAAAGGUGAGAGCCGGUUGCCUCCUCUGGCCCAGGCUCACCACCCUGUGCUAUGGAGGGUCAGAGGUUUGUAAUACAGCUGCUGAGUGACACCACCUGAGUCUGAGACAUGCUCAAAGAAUCCCAUUUGUAAAAGGAGAGGCUGAGGCCCAGAAAGCUGAGGCUGUGUGUGGUGGGCUGUCUCCCAGAGACACCCAGGAAUCCCAGUACACUUCCCAAAGUGCAUCAGGGUUGGUCUCUGAGCUCCACACAGUGAGGAUCCCUUUCCGAGGUGACUCUGGGCCAUGCCAUGUUGGAUGCUCAGGUGGAGAAGCCCACAGGGAAGAGAGUAGGGUUCCAGCUAGAAGCCAGCACCAUGGCUGGCCACUGGACAGAGGCAGGUAGCUGCCCCCAGUCAGACCCUGAGGACAGGCCAGCUUCCUGACUAGAGUUGCUGGGACACUAAAGGUUACUCAGCCAAGAUACCCUCAGUCUCCCGGUCAUACGUGCAAAGGUCCCAAGGCAAGCCGCAGAGGACUGUGGGGAUGAAGACACUGGGUAACAAUGGAAGGUGGACCUCUGACUGUGUGCCCAGCAGGUGAGAUGUCACCCUGCCCGCACCCCUGCCCGCACCCCUGCCUGCACAAGAAGAGCUAUGUCAGGGGAGAGCCAGUCCCCUUCUCCACCUGUGCCUUGCGCCUUCCCUGGCCUCCAGAGACUACUACGACCACAAUCACAGUGGGGGUGGGGGGGGUUUCUGGCCUCCACAAGGAAUUCACAGCAAACCCCUGUCUCAGAUCACUUCAUAGACUUCCCAGGUAACCAGGGAUAGACAGAAGACAGGAAAGGACAGACAAGGCCCACCCCCUCUGGCCCCAGAAAUGCUACCCCAGGAAUCUUUCGAGAACCGGAGGACCCAGGUGUGGCAGGCUAUCUAGACACAGACAUGGGGACCAUUCCAGCCUUUGGAGGGAAGAAUGGGGGGCCACGACGAGAGGCAUGAGACACAUCUAAAGUAAUCGCAGCUCCUGCCGAAAGGCUUCAGGAGGGACACAGCACCCAUAAUAUUUCUUAGAGACACUCAACACCCCAGAUGAAACACUGCCCCGUGGGGACGGACAGGUACCAUCUGCUUUGAAAACGCCUUAGACACACAGGUUUUAUGUCCUUCCCUGUCCUGGACAUCAUUUUAAAUGACUUGAAAGUGCUCAGAAUUAGGGAGGUGGGUGCGUGACUGUUGACCCCAGAGUUCAUGGAGAACGUCACAAUCCACCUCGGAAGGAAGAACACACAAGGGGCUGACGCUUAAAAACACAUCCAUCACAAAGUAUCCAAGUGGGACACAAGAAGCAGGGUGCUCGGCGGAAAGGGGCGGACAGGCUGGGGAGUACGGGGUUAUCUGGAUCCAGGGGCAGAGGAGAACUCCAUUACAUGGACCUGGUCUUUCCAGUAUCAGCCUGUAUUCUUCAUGGGAUUUUGCUUUGACUUAAAAAAAAAAAAGUACUUACAGCAUUAUUUAUCUUGACCACGGACAAUUUUGUUGCUUCCUGAUAAUAAGUUAUGGCCCCAUGGGCCGUGCCCUGCCCCCUACCCUGCACUGGACUGGCUAAAUCAAGUCACAAUCUGCAACUGGCUUUAACCAGUCACUGAGAAAGUAACUAAACCUCUCUGAUUUCUUUCGCAGAUGAAACCACCAAGUGUUUCCUUGUCAUGGACGUGGUUGGUUGGCCCCUUCCUGUCCCUACAUCACAAUGGCGCACUUGGUCUUUUGCCCAUGGGUCUGGCUCAGAGCUAUACAAAGGGUGACCAUAUACCUCAGUGAUCAGCCAGCGAAGAACUCAGAACCCAGGUCCCCUUGUCCACAGGGAGACUAGCCCGGGGUCAGUUGGGGACAGAGCUCACCAGACCCCUGUGUGUCCCCAACUCUGUCGCUGCUCAAGUCUAUGGCCAGGCCUCCACGUUAGCCCUGAGCUCAGGAGUCCCCAACGACUCAGCACACAGACACCAGCCCGAGUGAACUCUGUCCCCCGGCUCCUGUCAUCGCUGUCCCCCGAGUACUAGCUGUGACCAAACACCAAGCACCCUGUCCCACACCAUGUAUGAUGUCACAGACAGGGCGAUGAUGUCACUGUAGUGCAAUACCAUGUGACCUCACAGUGUUAAGCCAUUACAUCACCAAAUUACAUCACACACUACCCUGCGGCCUGUCGCUCAACUGUGUCUCAGUCACACCUCAUCUGCUCAUGCCAGCAAGAAGCUCCACCCACAUUUUACAGAUGGAGAGCACAAAGCAGGGAGAAGGGACAGAUGUGACCGGUCCAGUGUCAAACAGCGCAACACAGAAAGGCUGUGGAUCUCGGCUUUCGGCCUGCUUUGGAGAGACAAGAGCAGGAGAGAGCCGGGAGCCAGAUGCUGGCUGCUAGCUCCGGCUUCCAGUGUCACCACGUGUUCUGGGAGUUGGGCUAUAAAAAGCAUUACUCCUGAAUCUGGGGCAGCACAGGCGUCCCCCCAGAGGGCUGUUUCUGCAAAUGCUAUUCUCUCCAGGAAACUCUGGGGACGCCGCAGGCAUCCUGAAAGCAAACCGUAUCUUCCUUACAUAAGGAAUCUGCAAAACUGGAGACCUGUGGGGACCAGGAAGGAACUGAGGAUGCGGACCACAUUGUGACAUGGGGCAGAGAGCCUGCGGGUCUCACGAAGGGAAGAACUUGUCAGUCACUCAUUCAUUCAUUCACUCAUUCACUCAUUCAACAAAUGGUUAUUCCACAUACAUCCAAGCUGACAGGGAACAUAGCUGUGCUCACUCCCUGUGCAGCUCAGCCUCUCUAAAUCUACAGAAUUGAAAGAGAAGCUCUCCACCCCUUGCCGGGCCACCUCAAGCCCGGGGACCUGGGGUUGGGGGCACUGCUCCUUCCCAGAUCUGGAUUGAGCAUAUACCUUCAAGAUUUCUCGAUCUAGCAAAAGAGAAAGCCAAAAAGGAAAAGCUGACAUGUGCCUGUGACCCAAGAACUGGGGGACAGAAACAGAGAUGGCAAACCCAACGCAAUGAGGAGAUGGGUUAUCUGGGAGGGGUUUGGAUGGAUGAAUAGGAGUGCUUCCAGUACCGAGAUGGGAAUGGCCAGAAGUGUGGCCAUGUUUAGUCUUGACUCUGGGAGGUUGACAAACUACAUAUAUCCCUUCCCAGAGUGAAGGCCACAUCUUCUCCCUCCUCCUCGCUUCCCUCUGGCCAGACAGCCCUAGGCUAUUUCCCACUUUACCCAGGAGGUCUCUUCCCUCAGUCUCUUUCCGUUCCUUCCUGGGCCAUAAGACCAAGCUGAGGAAGUGGACUAUCACGCUGUUGAUAAGAGCGCUGUAAUAAAACCGUUACUCAGAGGUGUUCAGAUCUGAGAUCCGAC